Molecule: long non-coding RNA, 1536 nt
Organism: Rhagoletis pomonella (apple maggot)
Lineage: Eukaryota; Metazoa; Arthropoda; Insecta; Diptera; Tephritidae
Exons: 4
Source: RefSeq, a predicted model, not a curated record
AUUCGUGCCUGCCGGUGGAAAAAUUAGAGCGACAUAUUAGUGCAUUGGCUCGGUGAAAUAAAUGAAGCGCUACUGGAGGCAAAUUAAAAUAUCUCCCUCAGCAAAAAUGAGACUCUCGCUCAUGAUGAAAGCAUGUUAAUAGUUUAUUCUUUGAAACAUCACCGACAUAGUCAUAUUCUAAAGCAUCAUCAACGCCAUCACCAAAUUCAAUGCCAUCAACACCAUCAGCGGCUAGUAACAAUGUAUACCACAGAUUUAUGGCGAAUUACAACGAGGCAAAAAACAUAUACAUAUGUAGGAAUUGUAAAAUUCCUAAAAUUUUGCAAAGUUUUAAGAAAACUGCAUUUUCUUGCACCACUAUAACUGAUUUCCAAUUGUUAAUAUAUAUCAAAAGAAAGCUAAAAGGAUUACCUUUCCUUUGAUUAUAAAACCAUUUAAAUCGCUGGACAUUUUUAUGCAAAUUUCGCAACUUUUGAAAUCAUCUAUAUGUAAGCAGUGGAAAGGUUCUAAAAUUUAGCAAAGUUGUAAGAAAACUGCAUUUUCUUGAACCACUAUAAAUGAUUUCCAAUUGUUAAUAUAUAUCAAAAGAAAGAUAAAUCGAUUACCUUUCUUUUAAUUAAAAUACCAUUGAAUUCGUUUAACAUUUUUAUGCAAAUUUCGCAACUUUUGAAAUCAUCUAUAUGUAAGCAGUGGAAAAGUCCUCAAAUUUUGUAGUUGUAAGAAAACUGAAUUUUCGUAAACCACGAUAAAUGAUUUCCAACUGUUAAUAUAUAUCAAAAGAAUAGUAAAUUGAUUAAUAUAUUAUUAUUAUUAUUAUAGUUUAAUAUCUUUAUACAUAGAUUUAUUGAAUAUCCCGUUUUGUAGAAUGGUUAUGAUGAUGUCUUAGAAACGCUUGCCAUAAUUGAUUAUUAAUAAAAUAAAGGUUUAUACUUUAAAAGGAUUUUUUAUUUCAAAUGGAUAUUCUUUAUUUUUUUUUAACUUAUUGCUUUUCCACACCACCACUGAGGUUGCAAUAAAGGCGCGUUACCGAUUUUUUUUUUUUGGGUGUUCGGUUCCCCAGGAGGCCUAUUUUCACCCAUACUAUCUACAAAUACGAAGUGCAUGCAUAUAAGAAAAUCUAAGAAAUAGCAAAAUCCACGAAAUACGAAAAAACUACACAAAUCUACUUGGAAAAAACGACUAUGACUAAUAAUAAAAUCUAAGAAAUAGCAAAAUCCACGAAAUACAAAAAAACUACACAAAUCUACUUGGAAAAAACGACUAUGACUAAUAAUACUACAUACAAGAAAACUACUUUAUACAAAUUUAUAUACAAUAUUUACAAAAUCACCCACAGUAAAUCCCUUUCUAUGAACUGUAAUAGAGUAUAGCAAAAAAAUAAAAAAAAUAUUGCGACUGUAAAUGUAGAGAACAUCAGCAUAUAGAAGCAAGCUUUUGGGGUCAACAAUUGUUAUUAAUAAGAGAGAAUCACAUCCCAAGACAUCAAAUUAAAUUUUUAAAUAACAUUGUUAUUAAAAAAAAAUGUGGCACAAAGCC